GACGAACGCUGGCGGCGUGCUUAACACAUGCAAGUCGAACGGAAAGGCCCUGCUUUUGUGGGGUGCUCGAGUGGCGAACGGGUGAGUAACACGUGGGUAACCUGCCCUUGACUUUGGGAUAACUUCAGGAAACUGGGGCUAAUACCGGAUAGGAGCUCCUGCUGCAUGGUGGGGGUUGGAAAGUUUCGGCGGUUGGGGAUGGACUCGCGGCUUAUCAGCUUGUUGGUGGGGUAGUGGCUUACCAGGGCUUUGACGGGUAGCCGGCCUGAGAGGGUGAACGGGCACAAUGGGACUGAGAGACGGCCCAGACUCCUACGGGAGGCAGCAGUGGGGAAUAUUGCACGAUGGGCGGAAGCCUGAUGCAGCAACGCCGCGUGCGGGAUGACGGCCUUCGGGUUGUAAACCGCUUUCGCCUGUGACGAAGCGUGAGUGACGGUAAUGGGUAAAGAAGCACCGGCUAACUACGUG
This 468-nucleotide ribosomal RNA is filed under the name uncultured bacterium. RNAcentral describes it as "partial 16S ribosomal RNA". It matches the Rfam family "Bacterial small subunit ribosomal RNA", at positions 28 to 507 of the family's 1533-position model. The record is from RNAcentral.